This 86-nucleotide transfer RNA is filed under the name Candidatus Rokuibacteriota bacterium. RNAcentral's name for it is "Candidatus Rokubacteria bacterium tRNA-Leu". It matches the Rfam family "tRNA". From Rfam's summary of the family: Transfer RNA (tRNA) molecules are approximately 80 nucleotides in length. The record is from RNAcentral. RNAcentral also lists the same sequence under 1 other name. Lineage: Bacteria; Candidatus Rokuibacteriota.
GGGGGCGUGACGUAACGGAAGCCGUGGAACCCUUAAAAGGUUCUGUCCGAAAGGACGUGCAGGUUCGAAUCCUGCCGCCCCCACCA